This 2249-nucleotide long non-coding RNA is filed under the name Callithrix jacchus (white-tufted-ear marmoset). Its description in RNAcentral is "lncRNA (ENSCJAG00000084883.1)". The record is from RNAcentral. Lineage: Eukaryota; Metazoa; Chordata; Mammalia; Primates; Cebidae.
ACCCUACCUGUUUCCCAGAAAAUGACAUUGCUUAACAAUAAAGUCAUAUAUUAAUGAAUCCUUUGCAUUUUAGAUUUUAACAUGAACAUCAGUAAGGAGGAAAAGAAUCCUUUUGAAAAACUUUGGUGUCUGCAAGGCAGUCCUAAAGAAAGCCAGAAAGCCAAGUGACUUAUACAAAGACGAGAUCUACCUGAACUCACAACCCUAAAAAAAAUGGGUCUACAUGCACCUGCUAUCACUCAAGAACCAUGGUCUCUGUCACUCAGGCUGGAUGCAGCAGCACAAUCAUAGAUCACUGCACUAUCAACUUACUGGGCUCAAGUGAUCCUUUCACCUCAGCCUCCCAGGUAGCCAGGAUUACAGCUGUUUCAGUCCUGCCACUUGGUGGAUCCCAAGUUCUUGUCCUGCACCCAGGAAGAAUGAGGUAUGUGGAUUACUGGAAGGUUAGCAAGGUUGAGAGGAGCUUCACCAAGCAACAUAACAGCCCUGAGAAGAUCUGCAGUGGCAUGCUCCUUUCUGGAGGUGGGUUGUCCCAGAGAGGUAAGGAGACCUGAAGUGGGUAGCUCCUUGUUUCCUGGCAGCUGGUAGUCCUGACAUCUAUGUAAGUCUGGCUGAGUAUGGGGUUUUUAUGGGCUCAUAAGGGAGGAAGUGCAUGCUGAUUGGUCCAUGGGCAGCCAUGGGUAAGGGCCUGGAAAAAGUACUGUAAUAAGUUCUCAUUCUGGAUAGUGAACUCCACCUGGAAGUUGCAGCCUGGUCCCCAGGCUUCAGGCUGUCCCUGGUUUGAAGGUGGGGUUUUACCAGGGACCUGCCCCUUUCUGCCCAGGCACCUAUCUGCCUCCACCUUCAACAUGCUGUCCACACAGCCCAGGUUGCUGGUACCAAGGGGUGCCUGUAGGCCUGUGCUGAGCCACCCUCAGCCACCCCAGGCCUCCCUCCCACACUUGUCAGCACCCGAAGUCCAGAGGGGGUGCCCCGAGGAGUCAGGGGGCUGGCAAGUCAGGGUCACCCCAAGCAGGCACACAUCCAGGGGUCACAACAGUGCCCAGACUCAGCCAUAAUUUGCUUUGCACUAGAGUGGGUGCCAGGAUUCAAGAGAGGCCAGACAGCAGGAGCAGGCACUUCAGAGCUUUCAAGGGCAGGAGGCUCCCAUCCCCCUGAGAGUGCAGGGAUGCCUGGGUCUGGAGCCACAGCUGGGUAGCUGCAGCUGCUCCCAGUAAGGGGUAGGGCUCCUGCCUGUUCCUGUCUCCCACAGGCCCCAUGGAGCGUGCAACUCUCACCACACCUGUCCUGAUGUAGCCAGUGUCUUCACAGUGGCCACUCCAGAGGGGCCACAGCUGCCAUCAUUAUCUUUGAGAAAUAAUCUAGGAAAAGGAGAUUUGAAGCCAACCCAGCCAUGGUUAUGAAAGAAGAACUAUUAUUCAUUAAUUGGGAUUCCAUUUUUGUGAUAGUAAUUUGUGGGCUUGUUAUUAGAAAUUUAUAGAUAGAAUCUGGAUCCCAACUGCAAAAUGUGAGAUGGGCAAAAUUUAACUAUACAGUUUUGGUUUAUGCAAAAUACUGUAAUUUAUUCUAAGACGUAUGGAGAGAAUAAGUACUUGAGGUGAUGGAUACCCCAUUUACUCUAAUGUGAUUAUUGUACGUUGCACACCCAUAUCAAAGUCUCUCAUGUAACCCAUAAUAUAUGCACCUACUAUGUACCCACAAAAAUAAAAAAUUUAAAAAAAAAGAUUAAUAUGUUUACCCAAAGCAAAGAAGAAAAAUAAAAGAGGGAGUUUGUAGAGUUUGUAAUACAAACAAUUCUGUUUAAGUGUAUUAAUUUUCCCCUACUCAAAACACCAGUCCCGUUUUGAUUUUUACCAAUAGUACAUAAUGUCUGGAUUAAGCCAAAGGCUUAACAUGAAAUCUAGAUAAUUGCUUCUGGCUUUCAUGUCUUUUGCAAUAGAAAAAAAAAUAAUGUCUUAUUUAGCAAUGGGACAUGUGUAAGUAUACACAUUCAGGUUACAAAUGUCUGAUGGUUGCAGAAAUUCGACUGUAAGGAUUAUAUUGACUCAAAAUGUAUGUUUAGUUUAUUAUGGAAUAAAAAUAGAGGUUAUAUAGACACAGAAUUUACAUUUGGCACUUCUUGACAAAAUAUUACAUACAAGAAAGUAAUAGUAAAUAACAUUUUGUACUUAAGAAAGAAAAAUUCCUGUGUUAAUGGAAUAUAUUGCUCAAUUACUAUUUUAUCUUUCAUGGAUAGUAAUUAGCUUGGG